Long non-coding RNA from Myotis lucifugus (little brown bat), 381 nucleotides. RefSeq lists it as uncharacterized. The record is from RefSeq and is a predicted model, not a curated record. NCBI's taxonomy places the organism in Eukaryota, Metazoa, Chordata, Mammalia, Chiroptera, Vespertilionidae. The transcript has 3 exons.
AAAGCAAUAGAGAGGAAGCUGUAUUACAGCGGAAGACUGCGGCCAGCGCCCCGCCUCCCCCCAGCGAGGAGGCUGUGUCCAGCAGCUCUGAUGACGACUCCGGGACCGACCGGGAGGAGGAGGGCUCUGUGUCUCAGCGCUCCACCCCAGUGAAGAUGACUGACGCGGGGGACAGCGCCAAAGUGACCGAGAAUGUGGUCCAGCCCAUGAAAGAGGUAUAUGGGAUUAACCUCUUCGAUGGUAUCUCAGAGGAAGAUCUCUCCAUUUAUUCAAGAUUCGUUCAGCUGGGUCAGAGUCAACAUCAGCAGGACAAGAGCAGCCAGCAGCUCUGUUCCAGGUGCCCAGAUGGAGUUAUAAAACUGUGAGUACUAGAUUAGACCU